This 64-nucleotide transfer RNA is filed under the name Spathius agrili (emerald ash borer parasitic wasp). Its description in RNAcentral is "tRNA-Thr". The record is from RNAcentral. Lineage: Eukaryota; Metazoa; Arthropoda; Insecta; Hymenoptera; Braconidae.
AGCUAAAUAGUUUAUAUAAAACUUUAAUUUUGUAAAUUAAUGAAAAAAUUAUUUUUUUUAGCUU